UCCUGGCUUAGGAUGAACGCUAGCGGCAGGCUUAACACAUGCAAGUCGAGGGGCAUCGGGAGUAGCAAUACUGCCGGCGACCGGCGCAAGGGUGCGUAACGCGUGAGCAACAUGCCCGUAUCAGGGGGGAUAAUCCAUGGAAACGUGGUCUAAUACCCCAUAGUAAUUAUGUAAGGCAUCUUAUAUAAUUUAAAGCUUUGGUGGAUACGGAUUGGCUCGCGUGACAUUAGCUAGAUGGUAAGGUAACGGCUUACCAUGGCUACGAUGUCUAGGGGUUCUGAGAGGAAGGCCCCCCACACUGGAACUGAGACACGGUCCAGACUCCUACGGGAGGCAGCAGUGAGGAAUAUUGGACAAUGGAUGGAAAUCUGAUCCAGCCAUGCCGCGUGCAGGAAGAACCGGCCCUAUGGGUUGUAAACUGCUUUUGUAUGGGAGCAAUAAGGGCUACGCGUAGUCCGAUGAGAGUACCAUACGAAUAAGCACCGGCUAACUCCGUGCCAGCAGCAGC
RNAcentral lists this ribosomal RNA (508 nucleotides) under uncultured bacterium. Its description in RNAcentral is "bacterial SSU rRNA". It matches the Rfam family "Bacterial small subunit ribosomal RNA", at positions 17 to 518 of the family's 1533-position model. The record is from RNAcentral.